GAUGAAGAACGCAGCGAAAUGCGAUAAGUAGUGUGAAUUGCAGAAUUCAGUGAAUCAUCGAAUCUUUGAACGCACAUUGCGCCCCUUGGUAUCCCGAGGGGCAUGCCUGUUCGGGCGUCAUUUCACCACUCAAGCCUGGCUUGGUGUUGGGCGACGUCCUCUUUGGGGACGCGCCUCGAAACGCUCGGCGGCGUGGCACCGGCUUUAAGCGUAGCAGAAUCUUUCGCUUUGGAAGUCGGGGCCCCGUCUGCCGGAAGACCUGCUCGCAAGGUUGACCUCGGAUCAGGCAGGGAUACCCGCUGAACUUAAGCAUAUCAAUAAGCGGAGGA
Molecule: unclassified non-coding RNA, 329 nt
Filed under: soil metagenome
Description: partial contains 5.8S ribosomal RNA, internal transcribed spacer 2, and large subunit ribosomal RNA
Rfam family: 5.8S ribosomal RNA (bases 1-120)
Source: RNAcentral